This 416-nucleotide ribosomal RNA is filed under the name uncultured Actinomycetes bacterium. RNAcentral's name for it is "bacterial SSU rRNA". It matches the Rfam family "Bacterial small subunit ribosomal RNA", at positions 9 to 418 of the family's 1533-position model. The record is from RNAcentral. Lineage: Bacteria; Bacillati; Actinomycetota; Actinomycetes.
GAGUUUGAUCCUGGCUCAGGACGAACGCUGGCGGCGUGCCUAACACAUGCAAGUCGAGCGAGGUCCAUCUGGUGGCAACACCGGGGAAGACCUAGCGGCGAACGGGUGAGUAACACGUGAGAAACCUGCCCCGAACUCUGGGAUAACUCGAGGAAACUCGGACUAAUACCGGAUGCCCUUCACGGAUCGCAUGGUCCAUGAAGGAAAGAAUUUCGGUUCGGGAGGGUCUCGCGGCCUAUCAGCUAGUUGGUGGGGUAACGGCCCACCAAGGCAUCGACGGGUAGCUGGUCUGAGAGGACGAUCAGCCACACUGGGACUGAGACACGGCCCAGACUCCUACGGGAGGCAGCAGUGGGGAAUCUUGCGCAAUGAGCGAAAGCCUGACGCAGCAACGCCGCGUGCGGGAUGACGGCCUC